UACGGGGGGGGCAAGCGUUGUUCGGGAUUACUGGGCGUAAAGGGCUCGUAGGCGGCUCGUUAAGUCAGACGUGAAAGCCCUCGGCUUAACCGGGGAACGGCGUCUGAGACUGGCAAGCUUGAAUCAGGGAGAGGGAUGCGGAAUUCCAGGUGUAGCGGUGAAAUGCGUAGAUAUCUGGAGGAACACCGGUGGCGAAGGCGGCAUCCUGGACCGGUAUUGACGCUGAGGAGCGAAAGCCAGGGGAGCAAACGGG
This 253-nucleotide ribosomal RNA is filed under the name uncultured bacterium. RNAcentral describes it as "partial 16S ribosomal RNA". It matches the Rfam family "Bacterial small subunit ribosomal RNA", at positions 524 to 776 of the family's 1533-position model. The record is from RNAcentral.